GUUGCACUAGCGGCAUUGCAAGUGCUCAACAGGCAUGUAGGGCUGGGGGCCGUGCUGCUGGACGACACAGACAGAGAACAUUUCCAUCAUUACAGAAGCUUCUCCUGAACGCACAAAACACUAAAAGUAAUCAAAACUUUGGAAUUAUCACAAUGUUCUGAAGCUGCACCUGUAUUAUUAAGAAGAGUGAUUUAGAAAGAGAAAUAUCUAGAAUCGAAAAACAAUUCCUCCACUCUGGAUAAUCUUGAGCACAGCAGCUUUGUCUUACACAUUUAUUUAUCUUUCAUGGUUUACACAGGAUGUGGCACAUGCAUAAGUAUUUGUUAAAGGAAAGGACAGUGGAAUGAAUGCAUAAAGCCAUGAAAGCAUGAAAUGAAAUGAAUUCUCCUUCCUCCAAAGUAAUUUCAAAGGGGCAUUUAUAGCUGGAUAGUGAAGGAAGGAGCUGUAGAGAUCUCUGAAUCCAGCUCUUCCCUUUGACACAGAGGAGUCAAUGGUCAACAAGGUUCAGAAGUUCGCCCAAAGUCAUCAGGUGAGGUUGUCUUCCUUGCCUUCCCGAUUGUAGCUUUUUACCAGCGACCACUGGUGUUCAUUCCAUAUUUUAUGAUUUCCUGUCAACAACAACAAUAAAAAGGUUUCUGUAUGAUUAUUGAAUAUUUUUCUAGAGAGCUUGCUCUGGGACACAUGACUACUUCAGUUUCACAGCAAAGACAAAAUUCACAAGUAGUGUCACCUACUUUGAAAGAUAUUUUAGGGCCUAAGCUGCCACUGAGUUGCUCUUUGUAGCUAACCUAAGUCCCUCAUGCUAUACUUUGUCACUUUCUGAAAUUAAACAGCCAUUUUUCUGUGGGCGUUCUUAGGACUCUGCCUCCCUCUGCUGUGGCAGGUCCUGCACUUUGUUUAAGAUUCAAGGUUACGCUCAGGAGACAUGUUGGAUUUGCACCAGGCUGGAAGGCACACCAGAGACCAAGGAGCUUCAUGGCUUCAUUUGACGGUCACGGACACUUAGGGCCAGCCAGCGAAAGUGACUUCUUCAAAGUUGCAUCACGGUUCCUUGGCAGAGCUGGAACUCCAAUGAUCACAGGUACUCAAGCGACAAAGGCAAUGCCUUCGCAAAAGGGAACUUCGCCACUCACGAAGAAUACCUGUGUGUCCAGAUCAGGUACCCUCCUGAUGUCAAAACCACUCCUGAUUCUCAGCAUGCCAAAAGUUGAAUUUAGGGGAAAUCCUUCUCAGAAUUUUCUCCACCACCUUCUUGCCCACCUGAAACUCCUGCUCAUCCAACAAGAAGAUGGGAACACUUCUCCACAGUAUCCACUGAACCUCCUACUCCGGGCAAAAAUAAGUACCCUAUGGGGCCAGCCCAGGGGCAUAGCAGCUAAGUUCGAGCACACCAUUUCGGCAGCCCCAGGGUUCACCAGUUUGGAUCCCAGGCAUGGAUCUACGCACCGCUUCUCAAGCCAUGCUGUGGCAGGCGUCUCACAUAUAAAGUAGAGGAAGGUGGGCAUGGAUGUUAGCUCAGGGCCAGUCUUCCUCAUCAAAAAGAGGAGGAUUGGCAGCAGAUGUUAGCUCAGGGCUAAUCUUCCACAAAAAAAAGAAAAAUAAAAAUAAGUACCUGUAAGCCUUUCCUUUCUCUAUUUCACAUUUACCCAGGAUUCAUUUUCAAAAACAAAAUCUCAGAAAACAUUCUUCCCACUCUCCCCUUAACUUUUACUCUUUUAACAUAACUUUGGGGUUGUUUGAAGAUUGUUUUAAAUGUCUAUGUGAAUUGCCUGCAUGUUUAUUAAUAACUGUAUUCUCUGUUUGCUAAUACAGGUACACAUUUUACUAGUUUUCUUGCAUGAAAACAUCAGAAAAUGGCAUUGCCCUGGAAAUCCCGUGCCUUGACCACGUUCCCAUUUUAAUCCCGACGUCUUACAUUCUCUUUUCUGUAGCUGGAGGACCAGAGUGAGGGCCUCGUGGGGUCCGGGCUCUCAGUAUUUUGUGGGGGAGAAAGGACAACGGGGCAGCCUGUCCGUAGAUAUCACCAAAGACCUAAGCACAGUUUUUGAGGAGGAACAAAGACACCGUCCAAUCUGUUUGCACACACACACCUAGGGCAUUCAUAUGGCAGCCCUUAUGCACUGAGAGGAGAACUGAGACACGGAACCUGUAGUAGGUAGAGGACAAGGAGAGGGAGAAGGAAUAAAUCCAACUGCUCCUGCACACUUCCCCAGACGAGACCCGGGACGAGACGGGGUAAUGUCACCUCAGACCUAAACCAUUAAGCUACAUCGUGCCUCAAAGAAGCAGAAACUCAGACCAAGAUUCCUCCCUCUCUGCCCUCCCCUGGAUGGGCCCCUGUGAAAUCAAGGGACUGGCUUGGGAAGGACUUUGCACACUGACCUCAGAAAUUCUUUUUAGGGGAAUGUGAUCCCUUUUAUUAUACAGGGAGAUAUAAAACUGCGUAUGAAUUGGCAAUUUUAUUGCCUGAUUUGAACAUUACAUUUUAUUAGCAUAGUGGGUGUUUUUUUGUCAUACUCAUUACCUACUGCCCACAGUGAGGAUGGGAGCUCCGUUCUGGCUUGCACGGGAAGGAGAUUCAGAGCAGAGUGCCGGGGAGCGCCCUGCACAAUUGCACUGUUCUCUGAAAGCCUGUCCCAUCUUGUGGGUGGCUGUUAUUUGCCUCUGCAUCUAACUCUGCAGGCCCUGCAGGAAGCAGCGGGCUCCUUGAGGGCGGGGCCCGCUUCCAACCUCCCUCUCUAUCUGGCACGCUGCUGGGCAUACAGUCCUUGCUCAAUAACUCUCUGGAUCCACCCCUGUUCCUUUGGAUUCUGGUUGCAGUGUUCUCCCCUCUGCCCUGUGCUGCCCUUAGCCAUAACAUCAGGCUUAGUGCGCUUUUCCCAAAGCUUGCGGCCCUCCUCGUUCACCACAUCCUGCAUCCCCUAUGUCCAGAGCAAUUGCUUUGUGCCCACGGAUGGCUUUGCUGAGGCAGCGCUCCCUGGAGAGGCCAGGCUCCUAUCUGCGGCCCGUGAGCAGGGGUUUGGCAGGCCGAGGUCCAUCCUGGCACAACUGAUUUCUGCGUGAUCAGCCCAGGACAUCAGUUAGCAGGCAGGUUGGGAAAGGAUGUAAAAUGAAUGGUCCCUGAUAACUCGAUCAGGAGCUGGAGCCAGAGAUCAUAGAGAAAUUUAUCACCAGAAGUGACAGCACCAGGCCCUAGCAAGAGCUUCCCCAGGAUCUGGCUCCUGUGCUGAGGGUUUCUGUCAGAUACCCUAGCCCAUGCAAGAAAGAGAUCAGGGUUAAAGAAGGUGGGGGAGUGAUCCUGAGUUAUGGGGGAAUGAGCCUGAAACGAGGCUGGUCCGGGCUCAGGUCUGAGCCCUCCACUUAGCAGGUGGGCCUUGAGGAAGUUGCUUAAGGUCUCCGAGCCUCAGUUUCUUCAUCCGUGCAAUGGGUAUAAUGCCACCUCCCUUUGUGAGGGGUCCACAAAUUAGUAGAGAUCCGCACGUGGAAGGUGCUCGAUAAAUAAUCUGUCGAAUGAGUUACCGAAUACCAAUCACCUUUCUCAGUGCCUGGCCCACCACCGAUGCUUUUAAUGAAUGAAUGAGUAUCAAUUUGCUAUCAUAGUGCACGGCAUUUAGUCUGUUGUUGAAAAUAAAGUUAGGUCUCUCCCCCACCAAGAUUUUACCCCCUCCAACCUGUUUUCCUUCACGAUUUGUAAAUGCUGGCCCAGAGAGGUGAGACAACCUUGUCAAGGUCACAGAGCGACUGUGAAUCAGAGCCCCUUUCCUGCUCCCAUGCUCGGCCCCGUAGAGCUCCGGCUGGCCCGCCGUCCACACUGCUUCCAGAGUCCAGAAUACCGCAGACCAGUUGCCUCCCGACCUCUGCCCAGGAGGACUUCCGUGCCCAUUGAGGUAACACUGACCCAGGGCCUCUAAUCCCGCUUCUGCUAGCCUACCUCCCCUCUUCCUAUCUGUGAUGGUUAAUUUUAUGUGUCAGCUUGGUUAUGCCAUGGGACCGAGAUAUUUGGUCAAACGUUGUUCUAGAUGUUUCCAUGAAGGUUGCUUUCAGAUGAGAUUAAUAUUUAAAUCAAUAGACUUUGAGUAAAGCAGUUGACCCUCCAUAAUGUAGGUGGGCCUUGUCCAAUCAGUUGAAGGUCUUAAUAGAAAAACAUAGACCUUCCCCAAGGAAGGAGGAAUCCUGCUGGCAGGCUGCCUUUAGACUCAAACUGCAACAGCAACUCUUCCCUGGGUCUCCAGGCUGCCAGCGUACCCUGCAGGUUUUGGACUUACGAAUGUAUAUCAUAUACACACACGGACAUACCCAUCCUAUUGGUUCUGUUUCUCUGGAGAACUCUGACUAAUACACUAUCCUUCUUGGUAGUUUAUUUUCCAGCUACUAGCUGCUACUUACCGUGUCUCCAAAGCACCAGGAUGGCUGUCACCUUGGCUUCUUUGCACAGACAUCUGUUUCUGCCUGGAACUCUGUCACUGCUUACUGUCUGGCCCACUGCCUUAAACUCAGCUUACCCAGACUCCUCCUUUGACCAGGGCCUAUCUAGCUGCAUAGCGCUGCCUGCCGUGUAGCUGUUCCUUCAUGGGGCUCCUGUUUUCCUGUCUAUGUAAUUUACGACCUUGUAUUGAAUUUGCACAUCUGUUGUCUCUCUCCUCACCUGGGACCACUGAAGGCAGGGCCUUGCUUAUGCAUCUCAGGCAUCUUAACCUAAGUUAACAAAGUUGUGUUGAAAACAAGGAAGGAAAGAAAGAAGAAAAGAGGGAAGGAAGGAGGGAAGGAGAGGGGAAGGGAGAGAGAGAGGAAAAGGAGGAAAGAUGGAAACAGGGAACCAGGAUGGGCAAAACCAAACAAAGUAACAACUCCCACUGAUGGGGACCGCCACAGGAGCAGAGGCACCCACUGAAAGAGCUCCCAAUAACCAAGCUGGAAGAAUUUGAGCAACAAAAUUAAGUGGUAUUGGAUUAAAACCCAAAUGAUAAAAUAAAUAUUCAGAGUAUACGUCCAUAUAAAUAAAUAAUUGAAUAAAUUAAUAAGUGGUGGGCACUUUUCAAAUGAUUUACAUAGAUAUACCACCAUCAAAGAGGGAACACGUAACUCACCCCGCCUCAGGUGUCAGCUGCACAUAGUGACUGUCCCCCAGAGAGUGCAGAAUAGAAAGGGGGAAAAAGCACAACUUUAUGGUGGAGAAACCUGAGGAGCAUGACCUCAGCCAGGUGGUCAAGGGGAAACACCCACAGUCAUAAAUCAUGUUGAUUGUCUACACCCUUGAUAGAGGAUGACAAUGGUUCUUCAUCUCUUCCUCCUCAAAACCCACAACCCUGGUCUAAUCACGAGAAAAACAUCAGAUACAUUCCAGAGGUGGGGCAUCCUACAAAACAUCCUCAAAACUGUCAACGUCAUCAAAAACAAGGAAAGUCUGAGAAGCAGCCUAGAGGAGCUUUAGGAGGCAAGACAACUAAUUAUAAUAUGAUAUCCUGGAUGGGAUCCUGGACGAGAAAAAGGACAUUGGGCAGAAACUAAGAAAACCUAAUUGAACCAUGGACUUUAGUGGACAAUGAGGUAUCAAUAUCAGCUCAUUGAUUGUAACCUAAGUGUCAUAGUAAGGUAAAAUGUUAGUAGUAAGAGGGGAAACUGGACGUGGAAUAUAUGGGAGCACUCUCUGCUAUCCUCUCAAUUUUUCUGUAAAUCUAAAACUGUUUUAAAAAAAUAAAGUCUAUUAAAAGAAAUAAGAAAAAUGGGAAAGUUAUUAAACAUCAACCAAUCUGAUUUAUCGUAACCUUAUUUGGAUCCUGAUUCACAAAAAAACAAAGAGAAAACUGGGACUCAAACCCUAGACUAAGCGUUCGAGUGAGAUUAUGUUGAUCGUCUGUGACUCUGUGGAAGUAUUUUUGUUCUUUUUUCUUAUAGUGAUUUCCCUUCUCCCAGAAGAACAUCCCUAGAGAUUAGUUGAAGCAGCAAGCCACAGUCCAGCCUUAAUCUUCCAGGAUUGGCUGAGUUACUUCACAGCAAUUCGUCUCCCUCCACUCCAAGCCCAGCCCACGGCAGUAAUUUGCAUUCUAAAGGAGGAAGUCAACUAACAGGAUUCAGAUAAGGAUGGUCAAUAGGUACUGGCUUCCCUCAGGGCCACCUCAGGCCAGGGGGUGUCUGCUCUCUAGCCCCACCUACCGGACCUUGUCUAAAUCACCUGAAUAAAUGCAACUGCCUGGCAAGACCCAAUGCCAGGCACGGAGGGGAAAGAAACAAGACUCAUCAGAUCAGGGAAUAUUGGGAUCGGAGGGAAACUUUAAGAUGAAUCUCUUCUUUAAUUGAAAGGAAAACCAAGUGUUAGAUGCAUUGGACAUUUACUACGCAUCGAGCCACUUUGACCAGAGUUCGAACCCUGCUCCUGCCACUGCGUGGUCAUGGAACUCAAUGUGUUCAGAUUGUCAAUUCAAUCCAACUUCAUUUCACUUACUUCAAUUAAGGAAUAUUUGUUAAGAAAUGACCGUGUUCCUAGUGCAAUACUAAGGAAUAUGAAGAUAAAUAAGACCCAGUACAUGCCUUCCAAGAGCCUGAACCACGUUUAGAGAAAGAAGAAACAUAUUUGAAAAGCCUCUGAUUCAGUAUUUGGACACGUGUUACUGAUCCGCGGAGAGCCCUCACGAAGGGGUGAUGACGUCUAUUAUGUAGUGAUUUUCAUGGCAACCUUGUGAACUGGUGAUUUUUACAGAUGAGGCAGCUGAGGCUCAGAUAAGGUAACUGACUGGUUCGAGAUUGCUCAGCACAGACAGACGAGAGGAUGGAGCUUGAAUCCACAUCUGCUUCCCCGAGCCCACUCUGUGCUUGGAUUUCCCCAGGGCCCCUACCCCACACCUGCCUGGCCCUGCCCACCUCUUACCUCCCAGCAUUCGAUUGUGUCUGUAUGUGAAAGCUCAGCCCUUGGUGACCCUUCCUAUUAAGGCUCCUGGAAGAAGACGGGCGUGCUGGGUCAGUUAUGAUAAUAGCUGAGGACAAUGGCAUCAGGAUUCACAUGAAGAAGGCUUUCUUUCUCCAUGACCAGCAACACCCUAGUUACGGUUUAUAUGCAACAUCUAUUUCUAGAAAGAAAACCUGAAGCGAGCCUCAGCAUUGCCACAAAUAACCGAGGUUGCUGUAAGAACACAUCUCAAUUUAUUUAUUUAUUUUUAAUUUUUUAAGAUUGGCCCUGAGCUAACAUCUGUUGCCAAUCUUUGUUUUCCUUCUUUUCCCCAAAGCCCCCCAGUACAUAGUUAUAUAUUCUAGGUGUAGGUCCUUCUGGUUCUGCUAUGUGGGACACUGCCUCAGCAUGGCUUGAUGAGCAGUGCCAUGUCCGUGCCCAGAAUCGGAAUGAGUGAAACCCCGGGCUGCCAAAGUAGAGCGAGAGAUCUUAAUCACUUGGCCACGGGGCCAGUUCCACAGCUCAAUUUAAAUUAAUAAAUCCACUUGGAAAGAUACUUUUCUGUCUCAGUCUUCUCUGCAUCAUUAGUGCCUGGAAGAGGGCUUCCUAUGGAGUAGGUGCACAAUAUGUUACUGUGUGAUGAUAAAUAUUUCUAUUCUUUCUGGG
This is a long non-coding RNA of Equus caballus (horse), 7549 nucleotides long. NCBI's taxonomy places the organism in Eukaryota, Metazoa, Chordata, Mammalia, Perissodactyla, Equidae. The record is from Ensembl.